This 279-nucleotide ribosomal RNA is filed under the name uncultured bacterium. RNAcentral's name for it is "partial 16S ribosomal RNA". It matches the Rfam family "Bacterial small subunit ribosomal RNA", at positions 506 to 784 of the family's 1533-position model. The record is from RNAcentral.
UGCCAGCCGCCGCGGUAAUACGGAGGAUCCAAGCGUUAUCCGGAAUCAUUGGGUUUAAAGGGUCCGUAGGCGGUCUGGUAAGUCAGAGGUGAAAUCCUGCAGCUCAACUGUAGCAUUGCCUUUGAUACUGCCAGACUUGGGUUAUUGUGAAGUAGUUAGAAUGUGUGGUGUAGCGGUGAAAUGCAUAGAUAUUACACAGAAUACCGAUUGCGAAAGCAGAUUACUAACAAUAUACUGACGCUGAGGGACGAAAGCUAGGGGAGCAAACAGGAUUAGAUA